This 433-nucleotide ribosomal RNA is filed under the name uncultured bacterium. RNAcentral describes it as "partial 16S ribosomal RNA". It matches the Rfam family "Bacterial small subunit ribosomal RNA", at positions 29 to 507 of the family's 1533-position model. The record is from RNAcentral.
AGCGAACGCUGGCGGCAGGCCUAACACAUGCAAGUCGAACGAACUCUUCGGACUUAGUCGCGGACGGGUGAGUAACACGUGGGAACGUGCCUUUUGGUUCGCAAUAACUCAGGGAAACUUGUGCUAAUACCGAAUGUGCCAUCGGUGGCUAAGAUUUAUCGCCAUUAGAGCGGCCCGAGUCUUUUUAGCAAGUGGGUGAGGUAACGGCUCACAGAGGCGCCGCUCAGUAGCUGGGUAGGGAGGAUGGCCAAGCACACUGGGAGUGAGACACGGUCCAGACUCCUAGGGGAGGCAGCAGUGGGGAAUCUUGCGCAAUGGGCGAAAGCAUGACGCAGCCAGGCCGCGUGAAUGAUGAAGGUGUUAGGAUUGUAAAAUUCUUUCACCGGGGACGAUAGUGACGGUACCCGGAGAAGAAGCCCCGGCUAACUUCGUG